AAAUUGAAGAGUUUGAUCAUGGCUCAGAUUGAACGCUGGCGGCAGGCCUAACACAUGCAAGUCGAACGGUAACAGGAAGCAGCUUGCUGCUUCGCUGACGAGUGGCGGACGGGUGAGUAAUGUCUGGGAAACUGCCCGAUGGAGGGGGAUAACUACUGGAAACGGUAGCUAAUACCGCAUAAUGUCGCAAGACCAAAGAGGGGGACCUUCGGGCCUCUUGCCAUCGGAUGUGCCCAGAUGGGAUUAGCUUGUUGGUGAGGUAACGGCUCACCAAGGCGACGAUCCCUAGCUGGUCUGAGAGGAUGACCAGCCACACUGGAACUGAGACACGGUCCAGACUCCUACGGGAGGCAGCAGUGGGGAAUAUUGCACAAUGGGCGCAAGCCUGAUGCAGCCAUGCCGCGUGUAUGAAGAAGGCCUUCGGGUUGUAAAGUACUUUCAGCGGGGAGGAAGGGGUUAAGGUUAAUAACCUUAGCCAUUGACGUUACCCGCAGAAGAAGCACCGGCUAACUCCGUGCCAGCAGCCGCGGUAAUACGGAGGGUGCAAGCGUUAAUCGGAAUUACUGGGCGUAAAGCGCACGCAGGCGGUCUGUCAAGUCGGAUGUGAAAUCCCCGGGCUCAACCUGGGAACUGCAUUCGAAACUGGCAGGCUUGAGUCUCGUAGAGGGGGGUAGAAUUCCAGGUGUAGCGGUGAAAUGCGUAGAGAUCUGGAGGAAUACCGGUGGCGAAGGCGGCCCCCUGGACGAAGACUGACGCUCAGGUGCGAAAGCGUGGGGAGCAAACAGGAUUAGAUACCCUGGUAGUCCACGCCGUAAACGAUGUCUAUUUGGAGGUUGUUCCCUUGAGGAGUGGCUUCCGGAGCUAACGCGUUAAAUAGACCGCCUGGGGAGUACGGCCGCAAGGUUAAAACUCAAAUGAAUUGACGGGGGCCCGCACAAGCGGUGGAGCAUGUGGUUUAAUUCGAUGCAACGCGAAGAACCUUACCUGGUCUUGACAUCCACAGAAGUUUUCAGAGAUGAGAAUGUGCCUUCGGGAACUGUGAGACAGGUGCUGCAUGGCUGUCGUCAGCUCGUGUUGUGAAAUGUUGGGUUAAGUCCCGCAACGAGCGCAACCCUUAUCCUUUGUUGCCAGCGGUUAGGCCGGGAACUCAAAGGAGACUGCCAGUGAUAAACUGGAGGAAGGUGGGGAUGACGUCAAGUCAUCAUGGCCCUUACGACCAGGGCUACACACGUGCUACAAUGGCAUAUACAAAGAGAAGCGACCUCGCGAGAGCAAGCGGACCUCAUAAAGUAUGUCGUAGUCCGGAUUGGAGUCUGCAACUCGACUCCAUGAAGUCGGAAUCGCUAGUAAUCGUGGAUCAGAAUGCCACGGUGAAUACGUUCCCGGGCCUUGUACACACCGCCCGUCACACCAUGGGAGUGGGUUGCAAAAGAAGUAGGUAGCUUAACCUUCGGGAGGGCGCUUACCACUUUGUGAUUCAUGACUGGGGUGAAGUCGUAACAAGGUAACCGUAGGGGAACCUGCGGUUGGAUCACCUCCUUACCUUAAAGAA
This 1552-nucleotide ribosomal RNA is filed under the name Citrobacter amalonaticus. RNAcentral's name for it is "bacterial SSU rRNA". It matches the Rfam family "Bacterial small subunit ribosomal RNA". Lineage: Bacteria; Pseudomonadati; Pseudomonadota; Gammaproteobacteria; Enterobacterales; Enterobacteriaceae. The record is from RNAcentral.